RNAcentral lists this ribosomal RNA (310 nucleotides) under uncultured Candida. Its description in RNAcentral is "SSU rRNA". It matches the Rfam family "Eukaryotic small subunit ribosomal RNA", at positions 39 to 352 of the family's 1831-position model. The record is from RNAcentral. Lineage: Eukaryota; Fungi; Ascomycota; Saccharomycetes; Saccharomycetales.
AAAGAUUAAGCCAUGCAUGUCUAAGUAUAAGCAAUUUAUACAGUGAAACUGCGAAUGGCUCAUUAAAUCAGUUAUCGUUUAUUUGAUAGUACCUUACUACUUGGAUAACCGUGGCAAUUCUAGAGCUAAUACUUAUUAAAAACCCCGACUGUUUGGGAGGGGUGUAUUUAUUAGAUAAAAAAUCAAUGCCUUCGGGCUCUUUGAUGAUUCAUAAUAACUUUUCGAAUCGCAUGGCCUUGUGCUGGCGAUGGUUCAUUCAAAUUUCUGCCCUAUCAACUUUCGAUGGUAGGAUAGUGGCCUACCAUGGUUU